RNAcentral lists this ribosomal RNA (479 nucleotides) under uncultured bacterium. RNAcentral describes it as "partial 16S ribosomal RNA". It matches the Rfam family "Bacterial small subunit ribosomal RNA", at positions 28 to 505 of the family's 1533-position model. The record is from RNAcentral.
GAUGAACGCUGGCGGCGUGCUUAACACAUGCAAGUCGAACGAAGCAUUUAGGACAGAUUACUUCGGUUUGAAGUUCUUUAUGACUGAGUGGCGGACGGGUGAGUAACGCGUGGGUAACCUGCCUUGUACUGGGGGAUAGCAGCUGGAAACGGCUGGUAAUACCGCAUAAGCGCACAAUGUUGCAUGACAUGGUGUGAAAAACUCCGGUGGUAUAAGAUGGACCCGCGUCUGAUUAGCUAGUUGGUGAGAUAACAGCCCACCAAGGCGACGAUCAGUAGCCGACCUGAGAGGGUGACCGGCCACAUUGGGACUGAGACACGGCCCAGACUCCUACGGGAGGCAGCAGUGGGGAAUAGUGCACAAUGGAGGAAACUCGGAUGCAGCGACGCCGCGUGAGGGAAGAAGUAAUUCGUUAUGUAAAGCUCUAUCAGCAGGGAAGAUAGUGACGGUACUUGACUAAGAAGCUCCGGCUAAAUACG